Non-coding RNA from Sus scrofa (pig), 1841 nucleotides. The record is from the annotation of a RefSeq genome assembly. Lineage: Eukaryota; Metazoa; Chordata; Mammalia; Artiodactyla; Suidae.
UCUUUUGGGCUCUAGAUUCAAUAUUUGAAAGCAAGAUUUUUCUAGCUAGAUUAUUGAUUGCUGUCAGACAUGUACAGCUGGACCCAUUUUGUCCAUCAGGAAACUUGCUGUGAUAGCAUUAAGCAGACAAAGAACUUUAUCUGCUAUAAAUUUCCCCAGGAACCAAUGCCUUGGAGUGCAGGAAGAAAAUUAUGAUGAUUGAGAGUGAAUUGUUUUAUCUUCCUGUCUGGAAGAAACAUCUGUGAGCUUAUUUUACUAUAGAUUUUGGCUGCAGACCGAAAAAAAAAAAAAAACAGACAAAAACGUGGAUGACAAUAUGUUCUAAGAGGUCGCUAUAAUCAUAAUAAAUAGUAUUCAUCAUGAAACUUUUUAAGUCCAAUAUGGCAAAUGGUUGCAGCCCUGAUACAACUGUUCAUUUAAUUACAAGUCUCAAAAGGCAGGUUAGAAUCACCAACCAAGUCACCGAGCCAUGACAUGACACAGGCAACCUGUUGUCACCAAGUUCCAUUUCCUGUUCUGGUGCAGAAGCAUUUCACUGUGCAGUAAUUGGAUAUGUGUUCCGUCAGACACAGGGCAGACACUUAGACCUGAAUUUGAGACAGAGCACAGCACAUUUCACUCAGAGGAAGAGCUGUCAACAUGCAGCUCCCUGACCUGCUGCUGAGAGUUUUCAUAGCCUCUGCCUGCCUCGGAUCCAUCAAGGCCCAGAACGUGACUCAAGAUCAGCCAGAAAUGUCUGUGCUGGAGAAGGAGGCUGUAACUUUGGACUGUGCAUACGAGAGUAGUAGUUAUAGUUAUUAUUUAUUCUGGUACAAACCACCACCAAGUGGGGAAAUGAUUUUCCUACUUCAUCAGGAGUCUUACAAUGAGCUAAAUAAAACAGAAGGUCGAUAUUUUUUGAACUUCCGGAAGAAAGCCAGUUCCAUCAGCCUCACCAUCACAGCCUCACAACUCGAGGACUCAGCAGUAUAUUUCUGCGCUCUGAGAGACCACAGUGAUGCGGGUGCCUGUGGGAGCUCAAUAGAAACCUCAGAUCUCAACCUGACUCCCCAGCUAUGAACACCUGGUGGAGAAUCUCCGUGAGGACAGAAGGCAGGGGCUCUGUCAGCUGGGGAAGGAGGAUGAGAAGUGGAAAUUUCACUCUAAGGGAAAUGCCCUCUUUCUGGCUCAGAGAACUUAGCUAACAGUGUUAUUCAUCUGAAGCAUCUUUAGCUGCAGUUCUUUUCCUUGAAGUAGAUCAUGCAGCAAGAUAAUCUUUAAAAUGUUGUGGUGAUUACAUCUUAAUGUAAGAGACUUGGCUUUAAAAAAAAUUCAGUAAUACUUAGCCAAAUCUGCACCUGAAGUGUUAGACUUUUAAGUUCACCGCACAGAUAUUUUAUUCAUUUCUAAGUCUGACCACUGAAAUAUCUCUGAAAUGGCUCUUCUUGGAUCCUCAUGAAUGACUAGGAAUGAUGUACAGAGAAUCAGUGUCACCACAAGUCUUGACACUAAGGUAAAAUGAAGCUCUUUAGUUUGCUCAGAACUAACCGCACCACCUGAUCACAUUCUCUAUAUGUAAUGACAAAAUUAUGCAUGUUUAAGGUAGAAAAAAGUGACUAGCCAAAGAAGGAAUGCUAAAACAAAACAACUCAAAAAUUCUACCAGUCAGGAAAAACUCUCUUAUAGAAUCAUAUCUUAUAGGAUGUCUUAUAUUCUGUAUUUUUACCCAAUGGGACACGAAGUAACUAUUGUCACAACAUUAUUUACAGAUCAACAUCACACAUUCUAAUGGUAAUAUUCCAAUGUAUGAUUUUAUAAUACUUUUUGGGUGAAUUCCAUCUUACUAAAUUUUUAUUUAUUUU